Myotis davidii is the source of this 554-nucleotide long non-coding RNA. RefSeq lists it as uncharacterized. NCBI's taxonomy places the organism in Eukaryota, Metazoa, Chordata, Mammalia, Chiroptera, Vespertilionidae. The record is from RefSeq and is a predicted model, not a curated record. The transcript is spliced from 5 exons.
AGAGCAUCAGGGCCGAUUCAGCAGAACACAAUUUGGGAAGCAUGAGAACAGGGCAGCACCAAGAGGCCUAGUCGAGCUUUUCCCUGCCCAGCUGACCCUCCAGGACUUCAAACACUGACUGGUACUCAGAUGUCUAUUUCCAGCCUGCCCUCUCUGUCAGGGUUUAUACUUUUACCAGGGAGGGCUCUUCCUGGAUUUAUCACUUGACUGCUGCCUUCCAGGAGGCUCACCUGCAACUUCUCUGGAGUGAAAGGGACAGAACAUGCCGUUCUGGCGCUCGCCGUGCAGGAGCCCUGUCCAAUCUCUUGCUCUUCCAAUCGGACCUCUGUCCCCUCCAGUGGAUUCAGCAGUGCUUUUUAAAAGGGGAUCCAGCGCUGUCACCUGCCCGAUCUUGAUCAGCUAUUACGGGUCAGCACUGGUUGCCAGAAUGCAAAAUAAAUGGCAGGAAGGAAAUUAACAGCAGGGCAAACUACACACCUUGAUGCGUCUCUUCCACACAGCUGGUUCUGGAGCCUCCAUUGGUGGAGAACACGCAUGUAGAAACCACUUUCUAC